GGAAGUAAAAGUCGUAACCAAGGUUUCCGUAGGUGAACCUGCGGAAGGAUCAUUAAAGUUAUAGUCCCCUGGCCCUCUGGGCUGGGGUCUUCUAUACCACCCUUUGUUUAUUACACCUUUGUUGCUUUGGCAGGCCUGCCCUCGGGCUGCUGGCUCCGGCCGGCUCGCGUCUGCCAGAGGACCUAAACUCUGUUUGUAUAUGAAGUCUGAGUACUAUAUAAUAGUUAAAACUUUCAACAACGGAUCUCUUGGUUCUG
RNAcentral lists this unclassified non-coding RNA (257 nucleotides) under plant metagenome. Its description in RNAcentral is "partial contains small subunit ribosomal RNA, internal transcribed spacer 1, and 5.8S ribosomal RNA". The stretch from base 1 to 55 matches the Rfam family "Eukaryotic small subunit ribosomal RNA", at positions 1778 to 1831 of the family's 1831-position model. The record is from RNAcentral.